CAUGCCCCUUAUACGCUGGGCUACACACGUGCUACAAUGGGUAGAACAGAGAGUCGCAAAGCUGUGAAGUGGAGCUAAUCUCAGAAAACUAUUCUUAGUUCGGAUUGUACUCUGCAACUCGAGUACAUGAAGUUGGAAUCGCUAGUAAUCGCGAAUCAGCAAUGUCGCGGUGAACACGUUCUCGGGUCUUGUACACACCGCCCGUCACACCACGAGAGUUGGUUGCACCUGAAGUAGCAGGCCUAACCGUAAGGAGGGAUGCUCCGAGGGUGUGAUUAGCGAUUGGGGUGAAGUCGUAACAAGGUAUCCGUACGGGAACGUGCGGAUGGAUCACCUCCUUUCUAAGGAGUAUAAGUCUUUCUCUAUUCUAUUGGUAAUGUUCUUUACAUUACUUCUGAACAUUGGAAACUAUAUAGUAGAACAAACAAGAAAAAAAUUAACUCUAACAAUUUCUUAGAGUUAGAUGUCAAAAAAUAGGUUAAAAUAAUUAAGGGCACACAAAGGAUGCCUAGGUAGUAAGAGCCGAUGAAGGACGUGGUAAGCUGCGAUAAGCCUAG
RNAcentral lists this small RNA (557 nucleotides) under uncultured Fusobacterium sp. RNAcentral's name for it is "bacterial SSU rRNA". The stretch from base 1 to 341 matches the Rfam family "Bacterial small subunit ribosomal RNA", at positions 1194 to 1533 of the family's 1533-position model. The record is from RNAcentral. Lineage: Bacteria; Fusobacteriati; Fusobacteriota; Fusobacteriia; Fusobacteriales; Fusobacteriaceae.